This 73-nucleotide transfer RNA is filed under the name Anthropoides virgo (demoiselle crane). RNAcentral's name for it is "tRNA-Val". The record is from RNAcentral. Lineage: Eukaryota; Metazoa; Chordata; Aves; Gruiformes; Gruidae.
CAAGACGUAGCUAUAAUACAAAAGCAUUCAGCUUACACCUGAAAGAUAUCUGCCGCCUACCAGAUCGUCUUGA